GUAAGGAAUAUUGGUCAAUGGGCGGGAGCCUGAACCAGCCAAGUCGCGUGAAGGAAGAAGGAUCUAUGGUUCGUAAACUUCUUUUGCAGGGGAAUAAAGUGCGGGACGUGUCCUGUUUUGUAUGUACCCUGAGAAUAAGGAUCGGCUAACUCCGUGCCAGCAGCCGCGGUAAUACGGAGGAUCCGAGCGUUAUCCGGAUUUAUUGGGUUUAAAGGGUGCGUAGGUGGUUUGAUAAGUCAGCGGUGAAAGUUUGCAGCUUAACUGUAAAAAUGCCGUUGAAACUGUCGGACUUGAGUGUAAAUGAGGUAGGCGGAAUGCGUGGUGUAGCGGUGAAAUGCAUAGAUAUCACGCAGAACUCCGAUUGCGAAGGCAGCUUACUAAGCUACAACUGACACUGAAGCACGAAAGCGUGGGGAUCAAACAGGAUUAGAAACCCUUGUAGUC
This 444-nucleotide ribosomal RNA is filed under the name uncultured bacterium. Its description in RNAcentral is "partial 16S ribosomal RNA". It matches the Rfam family "Bacterial small subunit ribosomal RNA", at positions 354 to 795 of the family's 1533-position model. The record is from RNAcentral.